Molecule: long non-coding RNA, 966 nt
Filed under: Lonchura striata (white-rumped munia)
Lineage: Eukaryota; Metazoa; Chordata; Aves; Passeriformes; Estrildidae
Description: domestica (Bengalese finch) lncRNA (ENSLSDG00000013621.1)
Source: RNAcentral
ACGUGCCGCGGGCUCAGGAGGGGAGCAAGAGGAGGAAGGAGGCUGCCAGCUGCCCACGUUCCUAGCUGCAGCUCCCUUCCAGCACGGAGGAAGGACAGGUGCUGUGUUUUCGGGCAGGGCAGCAGCCAUGGCCUCAGCCAGCCUGUCACAGCUGCUGGAUGAGGCCAUCGGGACGCCCGAAGUCAGUGUUAACUUGGAGGCGCUCCGCAAACUGCUGAAGAUCAUACUGGGACACCUGAGCCUGCUGGGUCUGCAGGACGUGAUCCCCGAGGAAGCCGCGCCUGUCCCGGGACAGAGCCAGCCCGCCGCAUCCCGGCCCGGCCCGCCGCAGGAGGAAGGCGGGGCCGGCGCCGGGGCUGGAGCGGGGGACACGGGCGAGCAGCCGCCCGAGCAGGAUGAGCUGCAGGGCACCAGGAGCGGCUCUCCUGUCACCUCCGUGGCUGCCGACAUGGGACAGAUGGAGAAAACGGAACCCAAAGAGAGUGGCAUCUCCGAGGAGGCCCACAAGGAGAUGGCUGGGAUUAAGGCCAUGCAGUCCAUCAUGGGAGAGGAAAUCCAGAGGAUCAAGGAGGCACUUGGUCAGACCACAGAUCUCUGCAAGGAUCUCCGUCAGGAGAUCAAUGAGAUGAAGGCCACACAAUCUGACAUGGGAGAGGGCAUCCGGAUGAUCCAGGAAGCACUUGGCCAGGGGAACCUCCAGGAUGCUGCCGGCCAUCCUACCCCUGCCAAGCCCCACACUUCAGACAUGGACAAGCUGGGGCAGAGCCCUGGUACCCAGAGCACCACCCCUGGAAUGCAGACAGAAGCCCCCAGUGCCCAAAGUGGCACCACUGGGACACAGCCUUGUUCCCAAGAAGGCAUUCCAGCUAUGGAGAGCAUUAUCAGAGACCUAUCUGAGCUCCAGGGCCAGAUGUCCUCCCUGCAGAACCUGGCCAGAGAUCUGCAGGAUGAGAAGGAGAAGGUAAG